RNAcentral lists this ribosomal RNA (686 nucleotides) under Campylobacter jejuni. RNAcentral describes it as "partial 23S ribosomal RNA". It matches the Rfam family "Bacterial large subunit ribosomal RNA", at positions 347 to 1030 of the family's 2925-position model. Lineage: Bacteria; Pseudomonadati; Campylobacterota; Epsilonproteobacteria; Campylobacterales; Campylobacteraceae. The record is from RNAcentral.
AAGUAUAACCAUAGAGGGUGAUAGUCCCGUAUGCGAAAAACAAACCUUAGCUAGCAGUAUCCUGAGUAGGGCGGGACACGAGGAAUCCUGUCUGAAUCCGGGUCGACCACGAUCCAACCCUAAAUACUAAUACCAGAUCGAUAGUGCACAAGUACCGUGAGGGAAAGGUGAAAAGAACUGAGGUGAUCAGAGUGAAAUAGAACCUGAAACCAUUUGCUUACAAUCAUUCAGAGCCCUAUGUAGCAAUACAGGGUGAUGGACUGCCUUUUGCAUAAUGAGCCUGCGAGUUGUGGUGUCUGGCAAGGUUAAGCAAACGCGAAGCCGUAGCGAAAGCGAGUCUGAAUAGGGCGCUUAGUCAGAUGCUGCAGACCCGAAACGAAGUGAUCUAUCCAUGAGCAAGUUGAAGCUAGUGUAAGAACUAGUGGAGGACUGAACCCAUAGGCGUUGAAAAGCCCCGGGAUGACUUGUGGAUAGGGGUGAAAGGCCAAUCAAACUUCGUGAUAGCUGGUUCUCUCCGAAAUAUAUUUAGGUAUAGCGUUGUGUCGUAAUAUAAGGGGGUAGAGCACUGAAUGGGCUAGGGCAUACACCAAUGUACCAAACCCUAUCAAACUCCGAAUACCUUAUAUGUAAUCACAGCAGUCAGGCGGCGAGUGAUAAAAUCCGUCGUCAAGAGGGAAACAACCCAG